CACGUAGUUAGCCGGGGCUUCUUAGUCAGGUACCGUCAUUAUCUUCCCUGCUGAUAGAGCUUUACAUACCGAAAUACUUCUUCACUCACGCGGCGUCGCUGCAUCAGGGUUCCCCCAUUGUGCAAUAUUCCCCACUGCUGCCUCCCGUAGGAGUCUGGGCCGUGUCUCAGUCCCAAUGUGGCCGUUCACUCUCUCAAGCCGGCUACUGAUCGUCGCCUUGGUAGGCCGUUACCCCACCAACAAGCUAAUCAGACGCGGGUCCAUCUCACAGCGAUAAAUCUUUGAAAGGAUCGUCAUGCGGCAAUCCCUUGUUAUGCGGUAUUAGCAGCCCGUUUCCGGCUGUUGUCCCCCUCUGUGAGGCAGGUUACCCACGCGUUACUCACCCGUCCGCCCACUCAGUCAUUACCAUCUUCCCUCCGAAAAGUUCCGUCGGUAGCGCUUCGUUCGACUUGCAUGUGUUAAGCACGCCGCCAGCGUUCAUCCUGAGCCAGGAUCAAACUU
Molecule: ribosomal RNA, 501 nt
Filed under: uncultured Lachnospiraceae bacterium
Lineage: Bacteria; Bacillati; Bacillota; Clostridia; Lachnospirales; Lachnospiraceae
Description: partial 16S ribosomal RNA
Source: RNAcentral